GGAGGGGCAGAGAGAGAGGGAGACACAGAAUCGGAAACAGGCUCCAGGCUCUGAGCCAUCAGCCCAGAGCCCGACGCAGGGCUCGAACUCACGGACCGCGAGAUCGUGACCUGGCUGAAGUCGGACGCGUAACCGACUGCGCCACCCAGGCGCCCCAGUCUUUUUUUUUUUUUUUAACAGCUAAUGGGAACUUUGAUGUUGGUAUCUUAAUGGAUGGAAUGGAUGGAAUAAAAGCCAAAACAGGAGAGGUUGAGGUCAAUGACAUGAAAAAAGUUCCAGGAAACAGAGGGAUAGAACUCAAAGAUAAGAAACAGGGAGAGUUGGUGAACAAUCUGCCAGUCGAUGGUG
This 348-nucleotide long non-coding RNA is filed under the name Lynx canadensis (Canada lynx). RNAcentral's name for it is "lncRNA (ENSLCNG00005019961.1)". The record is from RNAcentral. Lineage: Eukaryota; Metazoa; Chordata; Mammalia; Carnivora; Felidae.